AGAGAACUAGAGGCUGCAGCGGCAGCAGUUGGAGCAUCUCACUGCGGGGCUCGGGAAGGAGGAAAGGAGUGAGCAUGUCCUGCUCCUGCAUGUCCCUGCUUAAGCUCAGGACUGGCCCUUCCAGGCCAAGGACCCCAGCAUAGACCCCAGGACAGGGCCCCAAGGAUCCCUGGCUCAUGAGAGCGGCUUGCUGGGCUGCCCCAAGAGAGCCUGAAGGAAACACAUUGUUGAGCUGAGCUGACGUCGCUGUUUCUUCCAGACUGCUCUCUAAAGUGGGCAGGGUAGCGACCGGCCGGCUCCGAUGGUGACGUCCCACUGCCAAGGGGUGGGAGUGGGGAGAGUCUCCACAGAGCUUCGGAGAAGCUGCUAAGAUGGAAAAGUGGAAACUUGGCAGACAGAUCCAGCCUCCCUGGCCACUGGCCCAUGCUCGUGGCUCCUGGAUGGCGCUGCCACGUUCUGAGCAGCUUGGGACAGGUGGAGAUCAGGACUGGCAGCUGCAAGGACACACCAGGUGAAUAGGUUUCUUUAUGGUCCUCACACCUGCAGAAAACCAGGAGGAGCCACAGAAACUAAAGAGAAUUUC
Long non-coding RNA from Homo sapiens (human), 583 nucleotides. Ensembl annotates it as C1QTNF1 antisense RNA 1. Its record names the gene C1QTNF1-AS1. Lineage: Eukaryota; Metazoa; Chordata; Mammalia; Primates; Hominidae. The record is from Ensembl.